UACGUAGGGCGCGAGCGUUGUCCGGAAUUAUUGGGCGUAAAGAGCUCGUAGGCGGCUUGUCACGUCGGGUGUGAAAGACCGGGGCUUAACUCCGGUUCUGCAUUCGAUACGGGCUAGCUAGAGUGUGGUAGGGGAGAUCGGAAUUCCUGGUGUAGCGGUGAAAUGCGCAGAUAUCAGGAGGAACACCGGUGGCGAAGGCAGGUCUCUGGGCCGAUACUGACGCUGAGGAGCGAAAGCGUGGGGAGCGAACAGG
RNAcentral lists this ribosomal RNA (253 nucleotides) under uncultured bacterium. Its description in RNAcentral is "partial 16S ribosomal RNA". It matches the Rfam family "Bacterial small subunit ribosomal RNA", at positions 524 to 776 of the family's 1533-position model. The record is from RNAcentral.